This 465-nucleotide ribosomal RNA is filed under the name uncultured bacterium. RNAcentral's name for it is "partial 16S ribosomal RNA". It matches the Rfam family "Bacterial small subunit ribosomal RNA", at positions 28 to 507 of the family's 1533-position model. The record is from RNAcentral.
GACGAACGCUGGCGGCGUGCUUAACACAUGCAAGUCGAACGGAAAGGCCCCCUUGUGGGGUACUCGAGUGGCGAACGGGUGAGUAACACGUGAGUAACCUACCCUUGACUUUGGGAUAACUUCAGGAAACUGGGGCUAAUACCGGAUAGGAGCUCCUGCUGCAUGGUGGGGGUUGGAAAGUUUCGGCGGUUGGGGAUGGACUCGCGGCUUAUCAGCUUGUUGGUGGGGUAGUGGCUCACCAAGGCUUUGACGGGUAGCCGGCCUGAGAGGGUGACCGGCCACAUUGGGACUGAGAGACGGCCCAGACUCCUACGGGAGGCAGCAGUGGGGAAUAUUGCACAAUGGGCGGAAGCCUGAUGCAGCAACGCCGCGUGCGGGAUGACGGCCUUCGGGUUGUAAACCGCUUUCGCCUGUGACGAAGCGUGAGUGACGGUAAUGGGUAAAGAAGCACCGGCUAACUACGUG